UGGCUCAGGAUGAACGCUGGCGGUAUGCUUAACACAUGCAAGUCGAACGAAAGUCUUCGGACUUUAGUGGCGGACGGGUGAGUAACGCGUGAGAAUCUGCCUAUAGGUUGGGGACAACAGAUGGAAACGUCUGCUAAUACCCAAUGUGCCGAGAGGUGAAAGCUUUAGUGCCUGUAGAUGAGCUCGCGUCCGAUUAGCUAGUUGGUUAGGUAAGAGCUGACCAAGGCGACGAUCGGUAGCUGGUCUGAGAGGAUGAUCAGCCACACUGGGACUGAGACACGGCCCAGACUCCUACGGGAGGCAGCAGUGGGGAAUUUUCCGCAAUGGGCGAAAGCCUGACGGAGCAAUACCGCGUGCGGGACGAAGGCUUUUGGGUCGUAAACCGCUUUUGUUAGGGAAGAAGAACUGACGGUACCUAACGAAUCAGCAUCGGCUAACUCCGUGCCAGCAGCCGCGGUAAUACGGAGGAUGCAAGCGUUAUCCGGAUUUAUUGGGCGUAAAGCGUCCGCAGGUGGUUUAUCAAGUCUGCUGUUAAAGCGUGGGGCUUAACCCCAUAUAGGCAGUGGAAACUGAGAGACUAGAGUACGGUAGGGGUAGCGGGAAUUCCCAGUGUAGCGGUGAAAUGCGUAGAUAUUGGGAAGAACACCAGCGGCGAAGGCGCGCUACUGGGCCGAAACUGACACUCAUGGACGAAAGCUAGGGGAGCGAAAGGGAUUAGAUACCCCUGUAGUCCUAGCUGUAAACGA
This 746-nucleotide ribosomal RNA is filed under the name cyanobacterium cCLA-17. Its description in RNAcentral is "bacterial SSU rRNA". It matches the Rfam family "Bacterial small subunit ribosomal RNA", at positions 20 to 809 of the family's 1533-position model. The record is from RNAcentral. Lineage: Bacteria; Bacillati; Cyanobacteriota.